GACGAACGCUGGCGGCGUGCUUAACACAUGCAAGUCGAACGGAAAGGCCCUGCUUUUGUGGGGUGCUCGAGUGGCGAACGGGUGAGUAACACGUGAGUAACCUGCCCUUGACUUUGGGAUAACUUCAGGAAACUGGGGCUAAUACCGGAUAGGAGCUCCUGUUGCAUGGUGGGGGUUGGAAAGUUUCGGCGGUUGGGGAUGGACGCGCGGCUUAUCAGCUUGUUGGUGGGGUAGUGGCUUACCAAGGCUUUGACGGGUAGCCGGCCUGAGAGGGUGACCGGCCACAUUGGGACUGAGAUACGGCCCAGACUCCUACGGGAGGCAGCAGUGGGGAAUAUUGCACAAUGGGCGGAAGCCUGAUGCAGCAACGCCGCGUGCGGGAUGACGGCCUUCGGGUUGUAAACCGCUUUCGCCUGUGACGAAGCGUGAGUGACGGUAAUGGGUAAAGAAGCACCGGCUAACUACGUG
RNAcentral lists this ribosomal RNA (468 nucleotides) under uncultured bacterium. Its description in RNAcentral is "partial 16S ribosomal RNA". It matches the Rfam family "Bacterial small subunit ribosomal RNA", at positions 28 to 507 of the family's 1533-position model. The record is from RNAcentral.